UUUUUUACCAAACUUGCACACAACUUGUAUCACCAUAAGAUCUCGGUUCCUUUCUUGAACUGGCCAGAUCCCAUUAUGGGUUCCAGAGUUAUGGCCCCUGAAAGGGCCAAAAUUAGCUAUUUUGACCUUGUCUGCAUAAUAGCAGCUUCAUUUAUGAUUUGAUUUUAACCAAACUUGCACACAACUUGUAUCACCACAAGAUCUUCCUUCCUUUCUUCCACUGGCCAGAUUCCAUCAUGGGUUCCAGAGUUAUGGCCCAUUAAAGGUCCAAAAUUGGCUAUUUUGGCUUUUGCAGCCAUAUAAAGACUUCAUUUAUGGUUUUAUUUGAUACAAACUUCCAAAAUAUCUUCAACAACAAUAAAUCUUGGAUUCCAUGACAAAUCAGAUCCAAUCAUAGGUUCCAGUUAUUUUAUAUCUGAUUACCUCCCCUGAUUGUAAUCAAAAUGGAUUUAUAUCAGUAAGUACUUACAGGACUUAUUUGAAAUUUCAUUAUUGUUAUUAGUUGGACUGAGACAAUCAGGGUAGAUAACUAUGGACUGAUUUUAUGUCAAAUUACCUCCCUUUAUUUCAAAUUAAAAUUGUUAUAUCUCCAUAACUAAUGAAGAUACUGAUCUGAAAUUUCAUUUAUGUCAACAGAUUUAUUUGGUAGAUCCUUCUUUUGUCCACUUACAAUAUAUUUUUUUUUUUAUUACUUCCCUUUUACGUUACUAUAAAUAACUUAUUUUUAGUAACUUUUUUUAUUAUUGGCCGUAGGGAAAACACGAGACCAGUUGUCUGUGGUACAACAUGGAUGGUACCUCCAAUUUUUAGGUGUAUUUUAACAUAUCUAUACCUUGUAAGAUUUUUUUUUUUUUGGUUAAAUUUCUUCCCUUUGUUGUUCCUGUCCUUUGGACUUAGAUAUUUUUCUGAGGACCUUCUUGUCCUCAAGUGCAAUGAUAACAGGUGAGCGAUAUAGGGCCAUCAUGGCCCUCUUGUUUAAAGAUAUAAAUAGAUCUUAGCUAUAUUUAGACUAAAGUUUAUUUCAGUAUAACAGCAUCUAGGGAACCCUUACAUACAGUCAAAUAUUCUUGAAAUUGCAAGGAAAUAUAAUGCAUUUUUCAAGUGCUUGCUGUUUCUUACCUUGUGCAUACUUGAUAUAGGUCAUUAAUUGUCAGUGUCUGCAGCUAUCAUUAUACUGACAUUUGAAGUUUUUUUUUCUAAAUUCAUACAUUUUCCUUCAACUAUUUUAUUGAUAAUUACUUCCCUUUAUGUUUUAGCAAUAAUUUCUCAGAUUGCAUUUAAUUAACUCCCUUUACUUAACAUAAAAAAUUAUCUUGUGUAAUGAUUAUUUUGUUUAUUUUACUUUCAGUGUCUGAUACAUGUAGUUGCAGUCUGUCUUUGGAAGCUGUUGAAGUAACAAGAAAGAGGCUACAUUGACAUCCUGGUAUACUUUGUUAUAUAUGAAGUUUAUUGAUGGCAUUCAUGAUAUCAUUAUAGAGUACCCUACAUUGAUUUUCUGACAGUCAUGUGUUAUUACAUUUGAACUGGGACUGUUUCAUAAUCAGUUUUGGUAGGGAGAAGUUUGAGUAUGUACAGUUGUUUGACCUGUCUUACCAUGUGGCAGUCCCAGAAGAUGUUACCAUUAUGAAUAAAUGCAGGGGAACUUGAAGACAGUGGUUAGUGCAGAAGGGACAUAAAAGUAAUGUGAAAGUAACAGAUAUAAAUAAGAAGUGCUACAAGUGUGUUGUCAUGUGAAAAGGACUUUACCCCAACUGUGCUGCAUGAUGUAUAUUCAAGAGUGAUACAGCCAUGCACCAUCUGUAAACUGAGAUGGACCCACACAUGAAAUAUGUUGACUUUUCUAUGUAUUAUCAUCUGUACAGAAUGUGUUUAUGACAAGACUGUAUACAUAUAUUGUUAAAUCAUUUUUUAUUUCCAUUAUGGCAUGCAUGUAAAAAGAAAGCAUUAACUAAACAAUUGCAUUCAUAGAAAUGUUAAAAUGUGAUCAAUCUAAUUUAAAGAAUAACCUUUAAUUGGACUUGCAAAGUUUUAUAUUAUUUUUGGUGGAAAUUGACCCAGUCAUUCAGCAACUUAUACCGUCUGUGAGUCAUUUCUUGUAUGUUAUAGUUUUCUUAAUAAUGCAUAAAAUAUCAAAAUAAUGGUUAGAUGAACUUGUACAUUAAUGUUAAAGAAGUUCAACAUUUUACCAUAACUUAAUUAAUAUUCUAUUAACCAGAUUUGUCACAUAUUUUCAUAUAAACAUUUGUAUAAUACAGUCUAAUCUAAUCUAGAAAUGAUGUUCCACAAUUUUUUAGUUAUACUUUAUUUUGUUUUGAUGUCUCAACAUAUAAUUACUAACAUCAACAAAACUUAGAUAUUUUACAAUUUGGUUGGUAUAAAUGGUUGUUUUGUUGAUAUGUUUUAUUUAUUUCCAUCCAGGGGAAAAAAGAAAUAUACAUUUUAAAAUAUCUCAUCAUUCCAGAUAAGUACACUACAUAAUCAAGAUAAAAGAAAUGAGAAAAAUUAUGUUGGUGGAAUUUUAUUUUAAAAAAUUGAUAUACAGUCUUUGUAGCAUUUACUUCUUUAGAUAUGUUGGACUGAAAUGGGAAUAACAACAUACUUAAAAAUUUUGUAGUCAUAAGUUAAUAUGGGAAUUAUUAACUUGAAAUAGAUUUUAUCUCACUGUUGUGCCAUCUGAGCUUUAAUAUUUUUCAACAUUGUCAUUGGCAACAAGGCUAAACAUUAUUUCUUAUGUAUACCUUGCAUUCAUGUGUGAUAAAUGAUUUUAUGGUAUUCUUUAACAUGAUAUAUGCUUUUCAUCUUACCAUGGAUUAAAAAAAUAUAUAUUUAUUUGUCUGAAAAUUAAGGUAAAAAUACUGACUGAUUAAAUUGCAAUAUAAAAAAGCUUAUAUGAGAUAAAGGGAGGUAAUUCCAUAAAAAAAUAUGUAGAAUGUAGAUGAUAAAUAUAAUGAAGGGAGAUAAUAAAAUAUUGUGAAGUUAA
Molecule: long non-coding RNA, 2980 nt
Organism: Mercenaria mercenaria
Lineage: Eukaryota; Metazoa; Mollusca; Bivalvia; Venerida; Veneridae
Exons: 4
Source: RefSeq, a predicted model, not a curated record